RNAcentral lists this unclassified non-coding RNA (336 nucleotides) under soil metagenome. RNAcentral's name for it is "partial contains 5.8S ribosomal RNA, internal transcribed spacer 2, and large subunit ribosomal RNA". The stretch from base 1 to 120 matches the Rfam family "5.8S ribosomal RNA", at positions 35 to 154 of the family's 154-position model. The record is from RNAcentral.
GAUGAAGAACGCAGCGAAAUGCGAUAAGUAGUGUGAAUUGCAGAAUUCAGUGAAUCAUCGAAUCUUUGAACGCACAUUGCGCCCCUUGGUAUUCCAUGGGGCAUGCCUGUUCGAGCGUCAUUUGUACCCUCAAGCUUUGCUUGGUGUUGGGUGUUUGUCCUCUCCUUUGCGUUUGGACUCGCCUUAAAGCAAUUGGCAGCCAGUGUUUUGGUAUUGAAGCGCAGCACAAUUUGCGAUUCUAACCGACUACACUUGCGUCCAUAAGCCUUUUUUAACUUUUGACCUCGAAUCAGGUAGGGAUACCCGCUGAACUUAAGCAUAUCAAUAAGCGGAGGA